CCUACGGGUGGCAGCAGUGAGGAAUAUUGGUCAAUGGACGAGAGUCUGAACCAGCCAAGUAGCGUGAAGGAUGACUGCCCUAUGGGUUGUAAACUUCUUUUAUAUGGGAAUAAAACGUUCCACGUGUGGGAUUUUGUAUGUACCAUAUGUAUUAGGAUCGGCUAACUCCGUUCCAGCAGCCGCGGUAAUACGGAGGAUCCGAGCGUUAUCCGGAUUUAUUGGGUUUAAAGGGAGCGUAGGUGGAUUGUUAAGUCAGGUGUGAAAGUUUGCGGCUCAACCGUAAAAUUGCAGUUGAAACUGGCAGUCUUGAGUACAGUAGAGGUGAGCGGAAUUCGUGGUGUAGCGGUGAAAUGCUUAGAUAUAACGAAGAACUCCGAUUGCGAAGGCAGUUCACUGGACUGAAACUGACACUGAGGCUCGAAAGUGUGGGUAUCAAACAGGAUUAGAUACCCCGGUAGUC
Molecule: ribosomal RNA, 460 nt
Filed under: uncultured bacterium
Lineage: Bacteria
Description: partial 16S ribosomal RNA
Rfam family: Bacterial small subunit ribosomal RNA
Source: RNAcentral